CAUGCAAGUCGACGCACCGCAGGUGAGUGGCAGACGGGUGAGUAACGCGUGGGAACCUACCCUUUACUACGGAAUAACUGAGGGAAACUUCAGCUAAUACCGUAUACGCCCUACGGGGGAAAGAUUUAUCGGUAAAGGAUGGGCCCGCGUUGGAUUAGCUAGUUGGUGGGGUAAUGGCCUACCAAGGCGACGAUCCAUAGCUGGUCUGAGAGGAUGAUCAGCCACACUGGGACUGAGACACGGCCCAGACUCCUACGGGAGGCAGCAGUGGGGAAUAUUGGACAAUGGGCGCAAGCCUGAUCCAGCCAUGCCGCGUGAGUGAUGAAGGCCCUAGGGUUGUAAAGCUCUUUCACCGGUGAAGAUAAUGACGGUAACCGGAGAAGAAGCCCCGGCUAACUUCGUGCCAGCAGCCGCGGUAAUACGAAGGGGGCUAGCGUUGUUCGGAAUUACUGGGCGUAAAGCGCACGUAGGCGGAUUGUUAAGUGAGGGGUGAAAUCCCAGGGCUCAACCCUGGAACUGCCUCUCAUACUGGCAAUCUCGAGUUCGAGAGAGGUGAGUGGAAUUCCGAGUGUAGAGGUGAAAUUCGUAGAUAUUCGGAGGAACACCAGUGGCGAAGGCGGCUCACUGGCUCGAUACUGACGCUGA
Molecule: ribosomal RNA, 645 nt
Filed under: uncultured bacterium
Lineage: Bacteria
Description: bacterial SSU rRNA
Rfam family: Bacterial small subunit ribosomal RNA
Source: RNAcentral